CAUGACCAGGCCACGUAUCCAGUGUUCGU
This 29-nucleotide non-coding RNA is filed under the name Homo sapiens (human). Lineage: Eukaryota; Metazoa; Chordata; Mammalia; Primates; Hominidae. The record is from RNAcentral.